Molecule: ribosomal RNA, 432 nt
Filed under: uncultured bacterium
Lineage: Bacteria
Description: partial 16S ribosomal RNA
Rfam family: Bacterial small subunit ribosomal RNA
Source: RNAcentral
AACGAACGCUGGCGGCAUGCCUAACACAUGCAAGUCGAACGAGACCUUCGGGUCUAGUGGCGCACGGGUGCGUAACGCGUGGGAACCUGCCCUUAGGUUCGGAAUAACUCCCCGAAAGGGGUGCUAAUACCGGACAAUGUCUUCGGACCAAAGAUUUAUCGCCUUUGGAUGGGCCCGCGUUGGAUUAGCUAGUUGGUAGGGUAAAAGCCUACCAAGGCGACGAUCCAUAGCUGGUCUGAGAGGAUGAUCAGCCACACUGGGACUGAGACACGGCCCAGACUCCUACGGGAGGCAGCAGUGGGGAAUAUUGGACAAUGGGCGAAAGCCUGAUCCAGCAAUGCCGCGUGAGUGAUGAAGGCCUUAGGGUUGUAAAGCUCUUUUACCCGGGAUGAUAAUGACAGUACCGGGAGAAUAAGCUCCGGCUAACUCCGU